Molecule: long non-coding RNA, 829 nt
Organism: Oncorhynchus tshawytscha (Chinook salmon)
Lineage: Eukaryota; Metazoa; Chordata; Actinopteri; Salmoniformes; Salmonidae
Source: Ensembl
GAAUACGAUGCCGCGGGUGAAAAUUUAUUGCUGGAGGUUUUUUGUGCUACUUUUAAAUUGCACCGCGCCGCCAUUCCAUUUCUCUUUGAAAACAAAUCUAUAUAUUUCACUGUUACCUGCUGCUGCUGCUGACUAUCAGGCAGUGAGCAGGCUGUGACUGAGUGAGUGAAUGAAUGGUGGAGAGGGCUUGACGGGUGUGUGCGUGUUGAGAGAGUGCUGCAGCAAGGGGGGAGAUGUCAGUGUCUGAAGGAGGGCCACUGUUGUGCAUUGCAGACUUCUUUCUUGAAGUGCAAGAGAUCUGUGGUCUAGAUUCCGGGGCAGGAAAGGCUAUUAAUGGACCAACGUUGGAAAUCUCUGGAACAAUGACAGCACUGAAAUUAUUAAUUGUAAAUAGUAGCUUAACUAACUUAAAAGGGUCAGUAUGGGGAUUGUAAUUUAUUAUGCUAACUUCACCUGAGAACGUGAUUGAGGUUGUUCUGUAGAGAAGAUAGUCACUGGUGUAAAGUACUUAAGUAAAAAUACUUUAAAAUACUACUUGUUGUUUUUUGGGGGUAUCUGUACUUUACUUUUGAUAUUUUUGGCAACUUUUACUCUGCUACAUUCCUAAUGAAAAGAAUAUACUUUUUACACCAUACAUUUUCCCUGACACCCAAAGUACUUGUUACAUUUUGACAGGAAAAUUGUCAAAUUCACACUUAUCAAGAGAACAUCCCUACUGCCUCUGAUCUGGUGGACUCACUAAACAGAAAUGCUUUGUUUAUAAAUUGUCUGAGUGUGCCUCUGGCUAUCAGUCAAUACAAAAUAAAAUACAAACCAUGCCUAGUUAAAU